Molecule: long non-coding RNA, 1241 nt
Filed under: Mus musculus (house mouse)
Lineage: Eukaryota; Metazoa; Chordata; Mammalia; Rodentia; Muridae
Description: long non-coding RNA chr5:57984211-57985452
Source: RNAcentral
GGUCAGGGCCCUCAAGACCUAAUGUUUCUGAGACUAGCCUCACAGACACACAAAAAGGUGUGGUUUGGCAAUCUAGGCAUCCCUCAAUUCAAUCAAGUUACCCGUAGAGAUUAACUAUGACAACCCUUGUUAAAUCAUGAUUCUAGCUGGUGAAGAAUAAAGCAAUAUAAAAUAAAUGAAAAAAAAAAAAAAAAAAAAGAAAUACUGUUUUGUUCAAUUUUCAUUUUAUUCAAAAGCUCAUAAAAGUGUCUCACUCAAAUUAUUAACAUUGAUAAUCCUUUCCCCUUCUUACUAAUGACCACAAACUAAUUGUCUAUAAGCUCUGCUUAUACAAUGAAGAGAAACUGAAGCUGAGUACAAUACGAAGAGAAAGUCUCCUAUUUUUUUCUUACUAAGGACCAGAAUCCAUAAAGGUAAAUUCUCAGCGCUUUGUUUAUCUUCUCCUCACCCCACAGAAUUUCUUUAAAUGAAGAUAUUCCUUUUAGAAACCAAUCUAAUUAAAAAACCUCCACUCUAGCUUGUCACCUUUAUACUGUUUAAAGUCAUAAAAAAUGAUAUCUCUUGAAAUAUGAAAUUGGCUCAGCCUGAUUCCUGAACCCAAUUCAAAGGCAUGCUUCACUUUUGGAAGUCAUCCUUUGUAUAUAUAACAAGUAAUUUUUUACACCUUUUAGUGCCUGGCAAUAAAAAUUUCCAACAUAGAUCAGUAUGAACAGUGUCAAAUGAUUUGAUCAUGCCCAUUGCUUUUAUCAGAAGACAUGGGGUGGUCUCCUCACUUAUCAUAAGAUAACAAAGCUCUAGUAUAAUUUGGGGGACAACAAAUUAUUUCCAUAUGUUCAGUCACUUACCUAAUUAAAAGAUAAUUCUAGGAUCAUUUUUCCUCAUAAACUUCUAAUCACUAAAUUUAAUAGUAAAUUAAUUUAUCAAAAUACUUACUUGCCAAUUGUGACAACUAAGCAUUUGAAAUAUGGCUAUAACUAUUAAAACACAUGAAAUUUAAAACUAAUAAAAUAAUAUAAAAUAUCCAAUUAAUGGCAUCACAUUGAUAAUUUUUCCCAUACUGUAUCAAAUAAAAUGCAGUAAAAUUAAUGUCAUUUUUAUUGACUAACCUUUAGUGCCUUAAACAUUGCCACAAUGGUAUGUUAACAUAUCUUUCUGGUUCAUGUUUAUGGUUUCAUUGUAUUCACAUUAAUUGAUAUAGACAGGAUGUUUUGCAUAUACAUAUAAAUACCCAACAAUUAAAG